AUAGGUUCCGCUUUUUGAGGGCUUGCAAGUGAGAAUAGGGGAGAACCGGGGGAAAAUCCCGGACGAACCGCCGCUGUGAAGAGGAAUGACUGGAGAUACUGCUCCCUACGGGAAUAGGGGCUAAGGCGUGGUCUCCGAAUCAGGAGACCUACCUGAAGAGGUUAGACUCU
RNAcentral lists this non-coding RNA (170 nucleotides) under Thermacetogenium phaeum. RNAcentral also lists the same sequence under 1 other name. Lineage: Bacteria; Bacillati; Bacillota; Clostridia; Thermoanaerobacterales; Thermoanaerobacteraceae. The record is from RNAcentral.